RNAcentral lists this ribosomal RNA (885 nucleotides) under Gloeotulasnella cystidiophora. Its description in RNAcentral is "eukaryotic LSU rRNA". It matches the Rfam family "Eukaryotic large subunit ribosomal RNA", at positions 47 to 947 of the family's 3401-position model. The record is from RNAcentral. Lineage: Eukaryota; Fungi; Basidiomycota; Agaricomycetes; Cantharellales; Tulasnellaceae.
UAAGCGGAGGAAAAGAAACUAACAAGGAUUCCCCUAGUAACGGCGAGUGAAGCGGGAAGAGCUCAAAUUUUAAAUCUGGCGGUCUCAGGCCGUCCGAGUUGUAAAUUAGAGAAGUGCUAUCUGUGCUGGACCUGUCAUAAGUCACCUUGAAUGGUGCAUCAGAGAGGGUGAUAAUCCCGUACUUUGUCAGGACCCCCAGUGCUCUAUGUUGCGCUCUCGACGAGUCGAGUUGUUUGGGAAUGCAGCUCUAAAUGGGAGGUAUACUCCUUCUAAAGCUAAAUACAUUGGAAUGACCGAUAGCGAACAAGUACCGUGAGGGAAAGAUGAAAAGAACUUUGGAAAGAGAGUUAAACAGUACGUGAAAUUGCUGGUGGGGAAACGCUUGAAGUCAGUCUCGUCCUCUGGGAUUCAGCCUCGCUUUUGCAAGGUGUACUUCCUGGUUGACGGGCCAGCGUUCAUUUUGACCGUUGUAAAAAGGCGAAGGGAACGUGGCAGUUUACUGUGUUAUAGCCCUUUGUCGCAUGCUUCGGUUGGGAUGGAUCUUACAGCACGUUCUGUGGUGCUUUUGCUGGCGUAAUGGCUUUAAACGACCCGUCUUGAAACACGGACCAAGGAGUCUAUCUUACCUGCGAGUCUUUGGGUGGAAAACCCAAGGGCGGAAUGAAAGUGAUGGUUGAGAAUCCCUCGUGGAGGCAUCAACGCCCGCCGCAGAAGUUUACGGACGCUGGCGAGGCAGAGCAUGUAGGAUGGGACCCGAAAGAUGGUGAACUAUGCCUGCAUAGGGUGAAGCCAGGGGAAACUCUGGUGGAGGCUCGUAGCGAUUCUGACGUGCAAAUCGAUCGUCAAAUGUGGGUAUAGGGGCGAAAGACUAAUCGAACCAUCUAA